Immersiella caudata is the source of this 92-nucleotide non-coding RNA. The record is from the annotation of a GenBank genome assembly. Lineage: Eukaryota; Fungi; Ascomycota; Sordariomycetes; Sordariales; Lasiosphaeriaceae.
UCUUCCGUAGUAUAGUGGUCAGUAUGUGAGCUUGUCAUUCUUAUUGAAGGUCGAUUUCGCUCGAGACCCGGGUUCAAUUCCCGGCGGGAGAG